AUGGCUCCGAAGCAGGCAAGUAGUGGUGUUUUUGUAGGAUUGAACAAGGGUCAUAUUGUUACCAAUAAGGAGUUGGCUCCACGACCCUCGAGUCGUAAAGGGAAAACAAGCAAGCGUGUGCACUUUGUAAGGAACCUAAUCCGUGAGGUUGCUGGAUUUGCACCCUAUGAAAAGCGGAUCACUGAAUUGCUCAAGGUUGGAAAGGAUAAGAGGGCACUCAAAGUUGCCAAGAGAAAGCUUGGAACACAUAAGCGCGCAAAGAAGAAGCGCGAGGAGAUGUCUAAUGUUCUUAGGAAGAUGAGGGCUGGUGGAGCAGGUGAUAAGAAGAAAUAA
Molecule: non-coding RNA, 333 nt
Organism: Vicia faba (fava bean)
Lineage: Eukaryota; Viridiplantae; Streptophyta; Magnoliopsida; Fabales; Fabaceae
Source: the annotation of a GenBank genome assembly